AGUGAACGCUGGCGGUAGGCCUAACACAUGCAAGUCGAACGGCAGCACAGUAAGAGCUUGCUCUUACGGGUGGCGAGUGGCGGACGGGUGAGGAAUACAUCGGACUCUACUUUUUCGUGGGGGCUAACGUCGGGAAACUUACGCUAAUACCGCAUACGACCUACGUGUGAAAGCAGGGGUUCUUCGGACCUUGCGCGAUUGAAUGAGCCGAUGUCGGAUUAGCUAGUUGGCGGGGUAAAGGCCCACCAAGGCGACGAUCCGUAGCUGGUCUGAGAGGAUGAUCAGCCACACUGGAACUGAGACACGGUCCAGACUCCUACGGGAGGCAGCAGUGGGGAAUAUUGGACAAUGGGCGCAAGCCUGAUCCAGCCAUACCGCGUGGGUGAAGAAGGCCUUCGGGUUGUAAAGCCCUUUUGUUGGGAAAGAAAAGCAGCAGGUUAAUACCCCGCUGUUCUGACGGUACCCAAAGAAUAAGCACCGGCUAACUUCGUG
RNAcentral lists this ribosomal RNA (492 nucleotides) under uncultured bacterium. RNAcentral's name for it is "partial 16S ribosomal RNA". It matches the Rfam family "Bacterial small subunit ribosomal RNA", at positions 29 to 507 of the family's 1533-position model. The record is from RNAcentral.